Molecule: ribosomal RNA, 484 nt
Filed under: uncultured bacterium
Lineage: Bacteria
Description: partial 16S ribosomal RNA
Rfam family: Bacterial small subunit ribosomal RNA
Source: RNAcentral
CUUUCCCUCUUUCUUCCGGCCUCCCCCCUGCACGUCGAGCGGAUGAAGGGAGCUUGCUCCUGGAUUCAGCGGCGGACGGGUGAGUAAUGCCUAGGAAUCUGCCUGGUAGUGGGGGAUAACGUCCGGAAACGGGCGCUAAUACCGCAUACGUCCUGAGGGAGAAAGUGGGGGAUCUUCGGACCUCACGCUAUCAGAUGAGCCUAGGUCGGAUUAGCUAGUUGGUGGGGUAAAGGCCUACCAAGGCGACGAUCCGUAACUGGUCUGAGAGGAUGAUCAGUCACACUGGAACUGAGACACGGUCCAGACUCCUACGGGAGGCAGCAGUGGGGAAUAUUGGACAAUGGGCGAAAGCCUGAUCCAGCCAUGCCGCGUGUGUGAAGAAGGUCUUCGGAUUGUAAAGCACUUUAAGUUGGGAGGAAGGGCAGUAAGUUAAUACCUCGCUGUUUUGACGUUACCAACAGAAUAAGCACCGGCUAACUUCGUG